This 539-nucleotide long non-coding RNA is filed under the name Eucalyptus grandis. RNAcentral's name for it is "long non-coding RNA (EGRA_LNC007713)". Lineage: Eukaryota; Viridiplantae; Streptophyta; Magnoliopsida; Myrtales; Myrtaceae. The record is from RNAcentral.
GACUAUGUAUCGCCGACCUUUUCAUUUAUAUAUGCACAUGCGGAAGCGGUUAUAAAUCCCCAGACAAUAAAACAAUGGGAUAUACAAGUAGGGCUAGGAAAUUGAACCCGAAAACCACACCAUUGCAAUCAUACACAAGCCAUACUAAUACGAUUGGUUUCUACUCAAAUUGAUUCUAUAACAAUCGUCAUCAGGAUCCUACUCUGGAUCAUCCUCGGGGUUCUCCUUCACGUACUCCUCCUCAGGUUCCUCAACAGGGAUCUCCUCAUCAGAUUCAUGCUCCUUAGGCUCCUCAUCCAGGUCCUGAAAUGGUUAUUCAAUAACCACUGAGACAACGUCUCAGCAAGUUCUACCCUCUAAGACCCGAUUAGUAAACUAAUACACCUUAGGGCUGCCUAUGCACAACAUGAGUCAGAGGACUUACCUUGGCCUCAGAUUCCACCUGCAUAUUAGCAUAGAUCAUACAGGCACCCAAGCAAUCAUAUUAUAGAUCGAAGCAUCGAUCUAAUCGACCUAGUCGAUUACACGCCAAGAAGACC